CAACUUUCAGCAACGGAUCUCUUGGCUCUCGCAUCGAUGAGAACGCAGCGAAAUGCGAUAAGUAAUGUGAAUUGCAGAAUUCAGUGAAUCAUCGAAUCUUUGAACGCACCUUGCGCUCCUUGGUAUUCCGAGGAGCAUGCCUGUUUGAGUGUCAUUA
Molecule: ribosomal RNA, 157 nt
Filed under: Cortinarius aurantioferreus
Lineage: Eukaryota; Fungi; Basidiomycota; Agaricomycetes; Agaricales; Cortinariaceae
Description: 5.8S ribosomal RNA
Rfam family: 5.8S ribosomal RNA
About the family: 5.8S ribosomal RNA (5.8S rRNA) is a component of the large subunit of the eukaryotic ribosome. It is transcribed by RNA polymerase I as part of the 45S precursor that also contains 18S and 28S rRNA.
Source: RNAcentral